Molecule: ribosomal RNA, 527 nt
Filed under: uncultured Actinomycetes bacterium
Lineage: Bacteria; Bacillati; Actinomycetota; Actinomycetes
Description: bacterial SSU rRNA
Rfam family: Bacterial small subunit ribosomal RNA
Source: RNAcentral
AGAGUUUGAUCAUGGCUCAGGACGAACGCUGGCGGCGUGCUUAACACAUGCAAGUCGAACGCGAAAGGCUCUUCGGAGCCGAGUAGAGUGGCGAACGGGUGAGUAACACGUGGGCAACCUGCCCCAAGGAGCGGGACAACCCGGGGAAACUCGGGCUAAUACCGCAUGAUUCGCCGGCACUCAAGUGCCGGCGGCAAAUGGUAGCUUCGGCCUCCGCCUUGGGAUGGGCCCGCGGCGCAUUAGCUUGUUGGUGAGGUAACGGCCCACCAAGGCGACGAUGCGUAGCUGGUCUGAGAGGACGAUCAGCCACACUGGGACUGAGACACGGCCCAGACUCCUACGGGAGGCAGCAGUGGGGAAUCUUGCGCAAUGGGCGGAAGCCUGACGCAGCAACGCCGCGUGUGGGAAGACGGCCUUCGGGUUGUAAACCACUUUCAGGGGGGACGAAGCUUCCGAGGUUAAUAGCCUACGGGGUGACGGUACCCCCAGAAGAAGCCCCGGCUAACUACGUGCCAGCAGCCGCGGUA